UGGGGAAUUUUGGACAAUGGGCGCAAGCCUGAUCCAGCCAUGCCGCGUGAGUGAAGAAGGCCUUCGGGUUGUAAAGCUCUUUCGGCGGGGACGAAACGGUUCGUGACAACACCACGGACUAAUGACGGUACCCGCAUAAGAAGCACCGGCUAACUACGUGCCAGCAGCCGCGGUAAUACGUAGGGUGCAGGCGUUAAUCGGAAUUACUGGGCGUAAAGCGUGCGCAGGCGGUUUGUUAAGACAGGUGUGAAAUCCCCGGGCUUAACCUGGGAAUUGCGCUUGUAACUGGCAGGCUAGAGUGUGGCAGAGGGGGUAGAAUUCCACGUGUAGCAGUGAAAUGCGUAGAUAUGUGGAGGAAUACCGAUGGCGAAGGCAGCCCCCUGGGAUAACACUGACGCUCAUGCACGAAAGCGUGGGGAGCAAACAGGAUUAGAUACCCGUGUAGUCCCUGAGCGGGCUGGCAAGGCGCAU
This 471-nucleotide ribosomal RNA is filed under the name uncultured bacterium. Its description in RNAcentral is "bacterial SSU rRNA". It matches the Rfam family "Bacterial small subunit ribosomal RNA", at positions 355 to 825 of the family's 1533-position model. The record is from RNAcentral.